GACCAUACUUUUGUACGUUUACAUUUUAAUUUUUAAUGUAACCAAACUAUCAAUCACAGAAACAGAAAGAUGUUUGUCAUGUUUCAUUUUUCUUAAACACAACGAGAUGGAUCAAAGAACCCGAGAGUCACCGUGCGACGUUCAACCUCCUACUGUACAUGCAAAUUAAAUAUCAUCCGAGUUCAUCUCAACCUCAGAGAGGGUUCACUGUUUGAAAUAUAUUGGAUGUGUUCAGGGUCACAUAAACGGUGCAGCCUUGUUUUGGAUUGACUUUAGACACAUCCCUCACUUCUUCUCCACCCCCCUCGUCUCUCUGUGGAAAUGAUGGCACCGUGCCAUACAGAAGGCUGUGUACAAUGGCCCAGGUCCCAUUAAAUCUGCGAAAGUUCCUUCCUGCAGGCAAACAUUGCCAGAAAUAGUAAUUCUGGCCCGAGCGGGAGCCGUAACAGAGGGGAGCAAUCACUCCCGGCGUAAUAAUGGAAAUCAUUUGAUUCUGUCCGUGCAGCCUCCAGAUCCAGCGGGGGGCUGCAAGUUUGAGGGGGCUCGUUCAGUCUUCCUCCGCCUGAUAAGGCUUCCUGAAAAACACACAGCGAGCAAUCAGGCGACAACAAUGGGCCCCCGUCCGUCAGACGCGUCGAACCUCAGGUAGUCAACAGUGCACCCAGCAGCUCUCCCCUGUCUUCAUCCACAGUGGGCAUGAGACCCGUCAGUGCUCUGACUCUCUGUUUGGAGUGUGGACUCUUCUGGCAGGUUCAGGUCUGCAACAAUUCCAGUGGCUUCACCAGAGGCAGGAGUCACUUGGCACUGGCAGGAAUCCCACUCGCCAUCAUUUAUACGGCUCCGCAGAGGACCGGACUGGAAAAGGGAAAUAAAGGUGAAUAAUAGUAUCCAGCAGCACUGAGGCUGCAAAAGUCAUUUUUUUCCCCCUCCCCAAGUUUUUACAGGUGAUUAGUGCAUCAAAAUGUGGUCUUUUUUUUAACAAUAUUCAAUUUUCAGACCCCGAGCCUUUAAAACAGCUGCAAUAGUUUGAUGCAAGAAGGAAGGUGCGGAUUUAUUCUUGUGUGUGUUUAACAGCAAGACGUGUGCUGCAGGUUUCAUCGGUGCAGUGAAAGGUUUAUGCUUUAUGGCUUAAGAAGAUACAUUUAAGAAAGCUGCUGGUUGCAUUAAAAAACCCCUGUAUUAAAAGAUGUAAAUGACAGGAAGGAAACAUUGGAUUAAAAUAAUAUUUGGAAGAAUGAUAAAACAAUGACGGGGGAAAUCCAACUGGCAGGAUCCCUGCAUGGCUACUAUU
Molecule: long non-coding RNA, 1291 nt
Filed under: Scophthalmus maximus (turbot)
Lineage: Eukaryota; Metazoa; Chordata; Actinopteri; Pleuronectiformes; Scophthalmidae
Description: lncRNA (ENSSMAG00000021783.1)
Source: RNAcentral